RNAcentral lists this ribosomal RNA (645 nucleotides) under Eurotiales sp. ThNM0044. RNAcentral's name for it is "eukaryotic LSU rRNA". The stretch from base 268 to 421 matches the Rfam family "5.8S ribosomal RNA". Lineage: Eukaryota; Fungi; Ascomycota; Eurotiomycetes; Eurotiales. The record is from RNAcentral.
UAGAGGAAGUAAAAGUCGUAACAAGGUUUCCGUAGGUGAACCUGCGGAAGGAUCAUUACCGAGUGCGGGAACCCAGUCGGGUCCCAAUCUCCCACCCGUGUCUACCACACCUAGUGUUGCUUUGGCGGGCCCACUCCUCCGGUGUUCCGCCGGGGGGGUCGUCCCGGGGCGCGGUGUGCCCCCGGGGCCCGUGCCCGCCAGAGGCACUCACUGUGAACGCUUUUGUGAAUGCGAGGAUUGUCUGAGUGACGAAAUGCAAUCGUUCAAAACUUUCAACAAUGGAUCUCUUGGUUCCGGCAUCGAUGAAGAACGCAGCGAAAUGCGAUAAGUAAUGUGAAUUGCAGAAUUCCGUGAAUCAUCGAAUCUUUGAACGCACAUUGCGCCCUCUGGUAUUCCGGGGGGCAUGCCUGUCCGAGCGUCAUUGCGAACCCUCAAGCACGGCUUGUGUGUUGGGCCGCCGUCCCCUCGUUUGGAGGGGACGGGCCUGAAAGGCAGCGGCGGCGUCGCGUCCGGUCCUCGAGCGUAUGGGGCUCUGUCACGCGCUCAAGGAGGGGUCCGGCCGGGGCCAUAGCCUCUGAAGGUCAAUUCUUCCAAGGUUGACCUCGGAUCAGGUAGGAGUACCCGCUGAACUUAAGCAUAUCAAUA